GUGAAGUUGUUCACAUAUAAACAUAUACCCCCUUUGUUUAACGUGAAAAAUUUCCCCAUCCCCUUUGUUCGUAAGAAUGAAAAAGCCUUGCAAUUAGUUAAUUUGCAAGGCUUUU
This 115-nucleotide small RNA is filed under the name Bacillus sp. CECT 9360. RNAcentral describes it as "RsaE". It matches the Rfam family "RNA Staph. aureus E (RoxS)". Rfam says of the family: It was shown to be regulated by the presence of nitric oxide (NO). In Bacillus subtilis it controls expression of genes with functions related to oxidative stress and oxidation-reduction reactions and it was renamed RoxS (for related to oxidative stress). Lineage: Bacteria; Bacillati; Bacillota; Bacilli; Caryophanales; Bacillaceae. The record is from RNAcentral.